UACGAAGGGGGCUAGCGUUGCUCGGAAUCACUGGGCGUAAAGCGCACGUAGGCGGAUUGUUAAGUCAGGGGUGAAAUCCUGGAGCUCAACUCCAGAACUGCCUUUGAUACUGGCGAUCUUGAGUCCGGGAGAGGUGAGUGGAACUCCGAGUGUAGAGGUGAAAUUCGUAGAUAUUCGGAAGAACACCAGUGGCGAAGGGGGCUCACUGGCCCGGUACUGACACUGAGGCACGAAGGCCAGGGGAGCAAACGGG
RNAcentral lists this ribosomal RNA (253 nucleotides) under uncultured bacterium. RNAcentral describes it as "partial 16S ribosomal RNA". It matches the Rfam family "Bacterial small subunit ribosomal RNA", at positions 524 to 776 of the family's 1533-position model. The record is from RNAcentral.